RNAcentral lists this ribosomal RNA (567 nucleotides) under uncultured archaeon. RNAcentral describes it as "bacterial SSU rRNA". It matches the Rfam family "Archaeal small subunit ribosomal RNA", at positions 312 to 879 of the family's 1478-position model. The record is from RNAcentral.
CGCGAAUCGCCCUUCGGGGUGCACCAGGCGCGAAAACUUUACAAUGCUGGAAACAGCGAUAAGGGGACCUCGAGUGCCAGGUUACAAAUCUGGCUGUCGUGAUGCCUAAAAAGCAUUGCAUAGCAAGGGCCGGGCAAGACCGGUGCCAGCCGCCGCGGUAACACCGGCGGCUCGAGUGGUAACCGUUAUUAUUGGGUCUAAAGGGUCUGUAGCCGGCCGGAUAAGUCUCUUGAGAAAUCCAGCAGCUCAACUGUUGGGCUUUCAGGAGAUACUGUCUGGCUCGAGGCCGGGAGAGGUGAGAGGUACUUCAGGGGUAGGGGUGAAAUCUUGUAAUCCUUGAAGGACCACCAGUGGCGAAGGCGUCUCACCAGAACGGACCUGACGGCAAGGGACGAAAGCUAGGGGCACGAACCGGAUUAGAUACCCGGGUAGUCCUAGCCGUAAACGAUACUCGCUAGGUGUCGGCCACGGUGCGACCGUUGUCGGUGCCGUAGGGAAGCCGUGAAGCAAGCCACCUGGGAAGUACGGCCGCAAGGCUGAAACUUAAAGGAAUUGGCGGGGGAGCAC